RNAcentral lists this ribosomal RNA (199 nucleotides) under uncultured Veillonella sp. Its description in RNAcentral is "partial 16S ribosomal RNA". It matches the Rfam family "Bacterial small subunit ribosomal RNA", at positions 335 to 526 of the family's 1533-position model. Lineage: Bacteria; Bacillati; Bacillota; Negativicutes; Veillonellales; Veillonellaceae. The record is from RNAcentral.
ACUCCUACGGGAGGCAGCAGUGGGGAAUCUUUCGCAAUGGACGACACUCUGACCGAGCAACGCCGCGUGAGUGAUGACGGCCUUCGGGUUGUAAAGCUCUGUUAAUCGGGACGAAUGGUUCUUUAGCUAAUAGUGCGAGGAUUUGACGGUACCUGUGAAUAAGCCACGGCUAACUACGUGCCAGCAGCCGCGGUAAUAC